UCUACAGACACACAACAUUGUUCCAAUGAAAAGUUUUGUCCUAUAAUCUUUUGUCAAAUUGGAAUAACUUUCGUGUUCACACUUGUUGUUCAGUUCUCUUGGUUCUGUCACUGAAGAAAUGCUGUCACUGUCUAUGGCGGUCUCGUUCAACAGUUUAAUAACGUUGCACUACAUUGCUCUUUAAAACUGUGCACAAGAGAGCAAGCGAAUUAAUGAUUUCAGUUUCAAUUUAUCUCUGAAAAGGACAGAUAAGAAUUGCCGCGAGCAGCCGGUAUACUAGUGUGAUGCCCCAAUUGUUGGUCCGUCACAAUUGAUGUAUUUAAUAUAUUCUCUGUAUGUGAAAAUACAUUGAAGGAAUGGUGGUUCUGCCAGACCAGUAGAGGGCGCUAUGUGAGUGCAGUGUGUUGUUAUGGGUCUGCUGCGUUGAUCGACCGUCAUAACCCAGCAAGACCGGAGCUUAUCACACGCACAUUUUUGUCCUGUCUUUAUUCCACAGGUUGCUGGGAACGCUUAACUGUCAGCUUAUACGGAGGUCCUGUACCCGCUACACUAGAAUCACUCUCAGUAUUAUAAACAGCAAAACAGAAGUGAUUUUAGAUGGUUUAUAGUCAGGUGAACAACACACCACAGCAGGAAGUAGAGGCCUUUACUGAGCCAAAGCUGAGGGACCCAUUUGCACAGUGAAAAGAAUGAAGAGAAGAAAAACUGAGAUUUGCAGAUCCAUCUUUGAUCAGGAGAAUGUAAUACUGCACCUGCUUCAGUGCUCAUUUAUAUCUUAUCAAAAGGGGAGGAUCUUCAUGAGAAAAUGAAAGUUUAAUAGAAAAACAAUGAAAUAAAAGUCAAGUCAAGUCA
Molecule: long non-coding RNA, 852 nt
Organism: Megalobrama amblycephala (Wuchang bream)
Lineage: Eukaryota; Metazoa; Chordata; Actinopteri; Cypriniformes; Xenocyprididae
Exons: 4
Source: RefSeq, a predicted model, not a curated record